GAAAGCCAUGAAAAUGUAAAAAAUAAAAGUGGUAAAACAAAAUAAAUAAAAUCACGUUAAAAAAAAAAAAGAAAAGAAAAAAAAGGGCUACAUUUCUUUCUUUUAUGCUUUUUCGAGGUUUAGGGUUUGGCAGAGUUGAGGCGUCUUCUCCACCUAGCAUCAAUGCUUGGCUUAUCCACCAUUGCUAAAAAAAUCUAGCUGUCUCAAAAUCGAACACUAAGGUCUUUCUCCUCCCAUGUAGUAGCUGGAAUUUUUUCUUCUCCGACUUUUGACCACCUAUUGAUCUCAUGAAUAGGUAUUUGUAUGUAAACGAUUCAUCGUUCCUUUUUUUUUUUUUUUUUUUUUUAACCCAUUUGCUUUGCAUAUAUUGAUGCUUACUGUGCUGAGAUAGGAUGUUGGGAAUUUUUUAAAUUUUGGAAUGGUUUGAGAAAUAUGUCUCUAUAUGUUUUUUUUUUAAAAAAAAUAAAAGAACAAAUCUUGGAAUAGUCAAUGAGGAGCUAUUAUAGGAUUUUUGAUAACUUGUUCUGCAUAUGUAUACAGAAGAUUUUUGUAUUUUUUUUUUUUUUGGGCUUUUUCUACUCAUUGAUUAAUACAUAUUAACUUCAUUCCCCCUUGCAUACAUGAAUGUUAGUUAAUAUAUUUGUUUGAAUGAGCCUUUAGAGAGAUAUAUAUACAUUCUUAGUCCAUAUUUAAUCAUCACUAAAGAAACCCUAAAGGUUCCGCAUGUAGACUCAUCACAUACCAUUGUCAAUAGAUCAAUUAGUUUUAUCUCAAUAUUCGUAUUUUAUGAUACUUCUUGGAUUAUCACAACAAGUAUAUGAGCUUCGCCAUUUUUUUUUUUUUUUUUUCAUUCCUUUUGCUAUGCAUAUGUAGAUGAACAUGAAGAAGCUGGUAAGUGGAGAUGCUAUAUUGGUUUCUUAAAACUUCAGUUUUAGUUUAUGAAAAUUUGAUUUUUUUCUCCAGUUCCUUAAAAUCUUUUAUGGAUACAUUUUGUUUAUAGAAUACUCAAGGUAAGUUUGCUACAGAAUUUUUACUUCAUUUCCGAAAAUUUAAUUUCAAUUUUCGCUUUAGUUUCUAUUGUGGUCCAAUAUUUGUGUUUGAUACUAUUUGUGCUAUUAUCCCUAAGCUUUUUGUUUCAGAUUCCAGGAUACCAUCCAUGUUUGAAGUUUAGUAACUUUAAGUGGUUCAUCCUUUAUAGUUCAUCCUUUUCUCCACUUUGGACUCUUCCAUUUUCCUUAAUUAUAGUCAUCAAAAUUCAUUUGUAUCUGAAUUGAUUAUUUAUCUCAACAAAAGAAUUACAAAGGAAAAUGGUUCAUCUAGUUCUAGGUUGGAACUUGGUAAUUUUCCUUUUGUUACGAUAGUUAUUCAAUUUGUUUGAUGAUGUUCCAUUGUUUAAGAAACUUGCUUUAAGCAGUU
This is a long non-coding RNA of Ziziphus jujuba (common jujube), 1416 nucleotides long. RefSeq lists it as uncharacterized. The record is from RefSeq and is a predicted model, not a curated record. Lineage: Eukaryota; Viridiplantae; Streptophyta; Magnoliopsida; Rosales; Rhamnaceae. The transcript is spliced from 2 exons.